Molecule: ribosomal RNA, 305 nt
Filed under: uncultured bacterium
Lineage: Bacteria
Description: bacterial SSU rRNA
Rfam family: Bacterial small subunit ribosomal RNA
Source: RNAcentral
CUGUCCCUACGGGGGGCAGCAGUGAGUACUAUUGGUCAAUUUUCGGUAGCCUGAACCAGCCAAGUAGCGUGAAGGAUGAAGGUUCUAUGGAUUGUAAACUUCUUUUAUAAAGGAAUAAAGUGAGGCACGUGUGCCUUUUUGUAUGUACUUUAUGAAUAAGGAUCGGCUAACUCCGUGCCAGCAGCCGCGGUAAUACGGAGGAUCCGAGCGUUAUCCGGAUUUAUUGGGUUUAAAGGGAGCGUAGAUGGGUUGUUAAGUCAGUUGUGAAAGUUUGCGGCUCAACCGUAAAAUUGCAAUUGAUACUG